Molecule: ribosomal RNA, 427 nt
Filed under: uncultured bacterium
Lineage: Bacteria
Description: bacterial SSU rRNA
Rfam family: Bacterial small subunit ribosomal RNA
Source: RNAcentral
UCGAGAAUUUUUCUCAAUGGGCGCAAGCCUGAAGGAGCGACGCCGCGUGGGGGAUGAAGGGCUUCGGUCCGUAAACCCCUGUCAUUUGCGAACAAACCUUUGCUUUGAACAUUGGCAGAGCUGAUUGUAGCGAAAGAGGAAGGGACGGCUAACUCUGUGCCAGCAGCCGCGGUAAUACAGAGGUCCCGAGCGUUGUUCGGAUUCACUGGGCGUAAAGGGUGCGCAGGUGGGUUGGUAAGUUUGGUGUGAAAGCUUCGGGCUUAACCCGGAAAAUGCAUUGAAAACUACUGAUCUGGAGGGUCGGAGGGGGGACUGGAAUUCUUGGUGUAGCAGUGAAAUGCGUAGAUAUCAAGAGGAACACCAGUGGCGAAGGCGAGUCCCUGGACGAUACCUGACACUGAGGCACGAAAGCCAAGGGAGCAAACAG